Molecule: ribosomal RNA, 500 nt
Filed under: uncultured bacterium
Lineage: Bacteria
Description: partial 16S ribosomal RNA
Rfam family: Bacterial small subunit ribosomal RNA
Source: RNAcentral
AUUGAACGCUGGCGGCAUGCCUUACACAUGCAAGUCGAACGGCAGCACGGGAGCAAUCCUGGUGGCGAGUGGCGAACGGGUGAGUAAAGUAUCGGAACGUGCCCAGUCGUGGGGGAUAACGUAGCGAAAGUUACGCUAAUACCGCAUACGACCUAUGGAUGAAAGCGGGGGAUCGCAAGACCUUGCGCGAUUGGAGCGGCCGAUAUCAGAUUAGGUAGUUGGUGGGGUAAAGGCUCACCAAGCCGACGAUCUGUAGCUGGUCUGAGAGGACGACCAGCCACACUGGGACUGAGACACGGCCCAGACUCCUACGGGAGGCAGCAGUGGGGAAUUUUGGACAAUGGGCGCAAGCCUGAUCCAGCCAUGCCGCGUGCAGGAUGAAGGCCUUCGGGUUGUAAACUGCUUUUGUACGGAACGAAAAGGUUUGACUUAAUACGUUGGACUCAUGACGGUACCGUAAGAAUAAGCACCGGCUAACUACGUGCCAGCCGCCGCAGUAA